This 537-nucleotide ribosomal RNA is filed under the name uncultured eukaryote. RNAcentral describes it as "bacterial SSU rRNA". It matches the Rfam family "Eukaryotic small subunit ribosomal RNA", at positions 21 to 549 of the family's 1831-position model. The record is from RNAcentral.
UAGUCAUAUGCUUGUCUCAAAGAUUAAGCCAUGCAUGUCUAAGUAUAAACAAAUUUAUACCGUGAAACUGCGAAUGGCUCAUUAAAUCAGUUAUAAUUUAUUUGAUAUUCACCUACUACUUGGAUAACCGUAGUAAUUCUAGAGCUAAUACAUGCGACAAGGCCUGACUCUUGGGAAGGGCUGCAUUUAUUAGAUACAAAACCAACCCAGUGGGGCGACUCACUGGUCUUUGGUGAUUCAUGAUAACUUAGCGAAUCGCACAGCCUCGUGCUGGCGAUGCUUCAUUCAAAUUUCUGCCCUAUCAACUUUCGAUGGUAGUGUAGUGGACUACCAUGGUAUUAACGGGUAACGGGGAAUUAGGGUUCGGUUCCGGAGAGGGAGCCUGAGAGAUGGCUACCACUUCCAAGGAAGGCAGCAGGCGCNCAAAUUACCCAAUGAGAACACCUCGAGGUAGUGACGAGAAAUAACAAUGCAGGCUCCGAUAAGGGGCUUGCAAUUGGAAUGAGUGCAAUUUAAAUCCCUCAACCAGGAUCAAUU